AGGCUCUUAAAAAGCAGUCGAGGAAAAUAGCGAAAGCGAAGCGAACGGGCCGAGAAGAAAGGAACAUUUCAAAUGAAGCGCAUUGCAUUUAUUCAGUUCGCUCGACGAGAUGCUUAAAGGAUUACAAUUGCAGCGAACGGGACACAGAACGAGAGCUGAAGAUGAGCUGACUUACGCACAAAGGACGAGAGCAAGGAAAACUUUGCCCCGGGCCCUGGGAAAGCUUUGCGCCCGAAAACGGCGAGUCCAUACACAGGG
Non-coding RNA from Drosophila melanogaster (fruit fly), 258 nucleotides. NCBI's taxonomy places the organism in Eukaryota, Metazoa, Arthropoda, Insecta, Diptera, Drosophilidae. The record is from Ensembl.